CAGAGGUCCCAAGCGUUGUUCGGAUUCACUGGGCGUAAAGGGUGCGCAGGUGGGUUGGCAAGUUCGAUGUGAAAGCCCCGGGCUUAACCCGGGAAUGGCAUUGGAAACUGCUGAUCUGGAGGAUCGGAGGGGGGACUGGAAUUCUUGGUGUAGCAGUGAAAUGCGUAGAUAUCAAGAGGAACACCAGUGGCGAAGGCGAGUCCCUGGACGAUACCUGACACUGAGGCACGAAAGCCAAGGGAGCAAACAGGAUUAGAUACCCUGGUAGUCUUGGCUGUAAACGGUGCGCAUUUGCUGUAAACGGAAUCGACCCCGUUUGUGGCGAAGCUAACGCGAUAAAUGCGCCGCCUGGGAAGUACGGUCGCAAGAUUA
RNAcentral lists this ribosomal RNA (372 nucleotides) under uncultured organism. RNAcentral's name for it is "bacterial SSU rRNA". It matches the Rfam family "Bacterial small subunit ribosomal RNA", at positions 526 to 896 of the family's 1533-position model. The record is from RNAcentral.